GGAGGGGUGGCAGAGUGGUUAAUUGCACCGGUCUUGAAAAUCGGUAAGGGUUUAAACUCUUCCAGGGUUCGAAUCCCUGUCCCUCCG
This 87-nucleotide transfer RNA is filed under the name Johnevansia muelleri (SeqCode). RNAcentral describes it as "Candidatus Johnevansia muelleri tRNA-Ser (TGA) (tRNA-Ser-TGA-1-1)". It matches the Rfam family "tRNA". From Rfam's summary of the family: Transfer RNA (tRNA) molecules are approximately 80 nucleotides in length. The record is from Rfam by way of RNAcentral. Lineage: Bacteria; Pseudomonadati; Pseudomonadota; Gammaproteobacteria; Johnevansiales (SeqCode); Johnevansiaceae (SeqCode).